AUUGAACGCUGGCGGCAUGCCUUACACAUGCAAGUCGAACGGUAACGGGCCUUCGGGUGCCGACGAGUGGCGAACGGGUGCGUAAUACAUCGGAACGUGCCCGAUCGUGGGGGAUAACGAGGCGAAAGCUUUGCUAAUACCGCAUACGAUCUACGGAUGAAAGCAGGGGACCGCAAGGCCUUGCGCGGACGGAGCGGCCGAUGGCAGAUUAGGUAGUUGGUGGGAUAAAAGCUUACCAAGCCGACGAUCUGUAGCUGGUCUGAGAGGAUGAUCAGCCACACUGGGACUGAGACACGGCCCAGACUCCUACGGGAGGCAGCAGUGGGGAAUUUUGGACAAUGGGCGCAAGCCUGAUCCAGUCAUGCCGCGUGCAGGAUGAAGGCCUUCGGGUUGUAAACUGCUUUUGUACGGAACGAAAAGCCUUCUUUUAAUACAGGAGGGUCAUGACGGUACCGUAAGAAUAAGCACCGGCUAACUACGUG
Molecule: ribosomal RNA, 482 nt
Filed under: uncultured bacterium
Lineage: Bacteria
Description: partial 16S ribosomal RNA
Rfam family: Bacterial small subunit ribosomal RNA
Source: RNAcentral